CGUUGGGAGCUCUCCCAUAUGGUCGACCUGCAGGCGGCCGCGAAUUCACUAGUGAUUCGUAUUACCGCGGCUGCUGGCACGGAGUUAGCCGGAGCUUAUUCUCCCGGUACUGUCAUUAUCAUCCCGGGUAAAAGAGCUUUACAACCCUAAGGCCUUCAUCACUCACGCGGCAUUGCUGGAUCAGGCUUUCGCCCAUUGUCCAAUAUUCCCCACUGCUGCCUCCCGUAGGAGUCUGGGCCGUGUCUCAGUCCCAGUGGGGCUGAUCAUCCUCUCAGACCAGCUAAGGAUCGUCGCCUUGGUGCGCCUUUACCACACCAACUAGCUAAUCCUACGCGGGCUCAUCCCUCGGCGAUAAAUCUUUGGACUUACGUCGUCAUCCGGUAUUAGCAGUCAUUUCUAACUGUUAUUCCGAACCAAGGGGCAGAUUCCCACGCGUUACGCACCCGUGCGCCACUAAGGCCGAAGCCUUCGUUCGACUUGCAUGUGUUAGGCAUGCCGCCAGCGUUCGUUCUGAGCCAUGAUCAAACUCUAAUCGAAUUCCCGCGGCCGCCAUGGCGGCCGGGAGCAUGCGACGUCG
RNAcentral lists this ribosomal RNA (577 nucleotides) under uncultured Alphaproteobacteria bacterium. Its description in RNAcentral is "partial 16S ribosomal RNA". The record is from RNAcentral. Lineage: Bacteria; Pseudomonadati; Pseudomonadota; Alphaproteobacteria.